RNAcentral lists this long non-coding RNA (1013 nucleotides) under Mytilus galloprovincialis (Mediterranean mussel). The record is from RNAcentral. Lineage: Eukaryota; Metazoa; Mollusca; Bivalvia; Mytilida; Mytilidae.
AUUCAGGAUUUUUAGGAAUUUAGGAAUUCUAAAACCAACAUUUGUCUAAAAUUAGCAGACAUAUAUGCUUAGCUCUGAAAUUGGCAAAUAAAGUUUAAAUUAGAAAUAAACGUCCUUUUUAUAUGAUAAAAUCGUAGAUGAAUAUAAAUAGUUUAUAUAGAGUAUGAUUUCCGUGAUCACACCAGGUGUUUCAUGGAUGAUCUCAACCAGAUAGCUCCGUACCAUAUAUUUGGAUAGGCAAGAAAAUAAAACGCCUGGGAUCAUAAAAAACCAAGAUGGUGUUAACAGAAUAGACAUAACUUAAGGUCAAUUUUACCUGGGGCAUUCCAUUGCGUUUGUUGUAUAAUUAUAUAUACAAUGGACAGAAAGUGUUCAAACAAAAGCUUGCAUUUAAAUUACAAGCCAUUACAUUUUGGCCUAAGAUCAAAUGUUUGGAAGGCCCAACUCCACCUACUAUAUUGGAGAAAAAAAAUCAGAAGAUCUAAAUAGAAACGACAUUCUAUAUAAUGUCAACUCGAUUACGGCAUUGAAUUCUAUCAUAACCUUCAUCGGGAGCGCCAAGACCAAAUGGGUUUCAAGCAAAACUAAACCAAAACUAAAACAGCAUAAAACAAAAAUGGUGUAAGCAGAAAAAAAGGGUAAACCUUUCAUUGGUUUGCUAACUUAGGUGAAAAAUAUAAUUCUUGAAGUGGAAUCUUACCAAAGAAAAAAAAAAUAGAAAUUCAUGUCAUUUUGGAAGCAGCGGCGACUACAAGCGGAUAAUUUUGACCUUUCGGAUUGAUAAUCAACACCAACUUUUCAACCGAUGAAAUUCAAUGCUGGGGCCAAUGAAAAUAAAUAAUAACUGCAAUCAAAAACUUCCAGACUUUACACAGGAAUAUUCCAGUAAAACAACAAUUAAUGAAAGCGAAUGCAGGGUGUCAAGCCCAUCACUUCACUAGGCCUGACAAUGAACAUCUAAUGAAACGUUCGCAACCUACACAUGUACCACAUAUAACUUGGAUUUUUCAGGG